RNAcentral lists this small nuclear RNA (18 nucleotides) under Arabidopsis thaliana (thale cress). Its description in RNAcentral is "snRNA_14062". The record is from RNAcentral. Lineage: Eukaryota; Viridiplantae; Streptophyta; Magnoliopsida; Brassicales; Brassicaceae.
GUAAUAUUAGUUUCGUUC